Molecule: transfer RNA, 73 nt
Filed under: Trichonephila clavata
Lineage: Eukaryota; Metazoa; Arthropoda; Arachnida; Araneae; Nephilidae
Rfam family: tRNA
About the family: Transfer RNA (tRNA) molecules are approximately 80 nucleotides in length. Their secondary structure includes four short double-helical elements and three loops (D, anti-codon, and T loops).
Source: Rfam by way of RNAcentral
GUCCCUGUAGUGCAAUGGAUAGCGCGUUGGACUUCUAAUCCAAAGGUCGUGCGUUCGAAUCUCACUUGGGAUU